This 2749-nucleotide long non-coding RNA is filed under the name Heterocephalus glaber (naked mole-rat). Its description in RNAcentral is "lncRNA (ENSHGLG00100043440.1)". Lineage: Eukaryota; Metazoa; Chordata; Mammalia; Rodentia; Bathyergidae. The record is from RNAcentral.
CUUCCCUGUCUUCAUGAAAUUUAUAUUCUUAUUUAUGUACUUGACAUAUAUCUUUCUGGCUUUUUUAUUUUUUGUAUUGGGGGUUGAACCCAGGGCCUUCACACAGAGUUAUAUCCCCACUUCUUUUUUUUUGGUACCGGGGAUCGAACUCGGGUCCUUGCGCUUGAGCAGCAGGUGGCAAAACCACUGAGCUGCCCAGCCCCCCAGUUCUUUUUAAAAAAAUAUUUUGAGAGGGUCCUGCUAAAUUGCCCAGGAUGGGCUUGAACUUGUAAUCCUCCUGCUAUAGCCUCCAAGAAUGUAGGGUUAUAGGUGUGUCCCACAACAGUGGGCUUUGGCUUUUUAUAUUUAUCAACAUUAGUGACUAUGUUUGAGAUCAACACAAGACAUCAAACAGUUGCUUUGAAUCCUCCUGUGACUUGGCUGGAACUUAUCUCUUCUGCUACUUGGAGUCUCCUGAGGAAAAAAAAAAAACCUGAAGCGGAAGUCAACAGAACAAAAAAUACAGCAGAAUCUUUAAUGUAAAAUUAUGUCAUCUUGACAUAAAAGCAAACCCUUACAUUUCUAGGAAUUGCCCUCAAGUUACAGGUUUCUCAUUUUUCUUAAUUGGUAAUAGGAGAAAGUAGCUGACCUGUGGUUUUUCACUCACCAAAAAAUUAUUUCUGUAAAGGCAAUAAUGUAAUCCUGAAUAUUAAAUAGAAAUCAGCAGAUGGAUUUUUAGAAGGGCAUUAAUGAAAAUAAUGCAUUUCCUGGACUACUUUACUCAGAUGUAAGCACUUCACCAUAUAUCAAAUUCCUUAUUCAGACUUAGAGACUCCUGUGGCAUCUGGUCCCUUCCUACUUCAAACUAGGUACCAUAUUCUCACCAGGGUUUAAUGUGUUUUCUUCUAUUCCACAAACAUGCCAAGUUUCUUUGGGCUUUGGGAGUCUUUGAUCUAUGCAUCAAAUAUCUUGGGCCCCACUUCAAAUCCCCUCCGCUUUGCCUUUUACUCCAGCUACUGCUGUUAGCCAUUAAUUUCAUGAAGUCUACUUAAGUUCUUGGAGAACAUGAUAGCACUUCCCUUUGGAUUCUUCCUACAUACCUUUUGCCUCAUUGAUAUGGACUACCUGCAGAACUUGGUACCCAAAUUUCACAUCAUAGAAGUACAGGGGAGCUAGGUACCCGCGGUGGGGAGCACCCUUGACCAAUAGAGGAAAGUUGCCGGUAGACCACUGCUUCCUCCUUUCAGCCCCAAGGCAGACAGUUCUGAAACACAUUUCAUAAGGUUCUUUAAAAGAUCCUGUGGAAUCAAUUACCAGUUAACCUUGGCUAAAUUGGUAACACAUCAUUAUACUGGGUUUCCUCUUUGGUUUUACUCCUGUGGAUCUCUUCUGCAUCCUAGAAUCUUUUCAGAUGACUUUUAGGCAAAGAUUUGUGUCGGGCGCUUGGAGAAUCCGGACUAAGAUUGUUUCUAAAAUGGCUCUGUCUCAACACAGGAGGUUGGAGCAGGUUCACUCAAAUGGCACAAACUCCCAUUUGUAGCAGGCAGAAUGAUGUCCCCACCCCCUAAAGAUAACCUUCUCUAGAAUCUGAAUGUUUCCUUACGUGACAAAAUGUGGUUAAGGUUAAAGACCUUGAGAUGGGGAGGUGAUCCUGGAUGGUCAGGGUAGGCCCAGCUUAAUCAUGUGUGUUUGUAUCUUUAAAAAUGACCUUACGUGGCUGUAGUCAAAGGAAGGUGUGACUACGGAAGAUUGAUGAUGGAGGAAGGGGACCAUGAAUUAAGGAAUGCACAGAACAAAACAAGGAAAAAGAAACCAGAAGAAGCCCAGAUAGGCUUUGAAGACCUGAGACCUAAGCAUGGUGGAUGAGCCAGGAAAUACUACAAAACAGGAUUCCCCUAAUGUGGGGCUUGCAGGGGCAGCUCAUUCUUCCUUGCCUAGAUACCUUGCCAAGGCUUCUAGUGAGACUGAUGCUGGCAAGAUGAUGCUUGGUCUCCUCCAGAACCUUUUCUGUUGCUUUCAUUGUUCUUCAAAGCAAGACCCAAAGUGAGAUCACAGCCCAAAUGGAAAAAUACAGCCCCUGUCUGUGUGGAAAUGGCAUAGACACUGAAGGAAUUGAAGAACCUGGCUAAUACAUACUAUCAGUGGAUCUUUAGAAGGUGUUGGGUUAGAGGUGGAGGUUGAGGGAAGAAUAUAUGGCAGAAUAAAGAACAGUUUAUUAUGAGAACGCUCACCUAUGGCUUGGAGUGGAGAACAUCUGAAGUGGGUCCUAGUAUACUGUUGGAUGGCUGUUAAGGCUUGGGCAUGGUUAUGGCAAACAGUAAAUGAGGUGGAGAUGGUAGAACUGCUUUGGUAUAGCACUGAGGAAAAGGUUCAGUGAUUCCAGGAGAAAUUAAUAUUAGAAUGGAUUCCUUAUAUGAGGCUGAGCAACCACCUAAAGGUGUUCUCUUGGUGGACAUUUCCUUUACUAAGGUAACCCAGAAUGCACCAGCACCCGUGAAAAGCUCAAUGGCAGUUGGCCAUUGUGAAUAGGGGUUGACAGUAGGAGAUGCUGCUCUGAAGCUGAGCCUGCUAUUAUAAGGGAAAUGAUGGGAUUCUAGAAUGGCACAGGAAAGGUGAACCCAAUAUAAUGGAUAAUAAGAUUGGAGUAGUACUCAGAGUGCCUUGAUCUGCCAGCCUUAUUGACAAUGGCUAAUAAUGGUAUUUUGAGAGACAACUGACUAUUGUGUUAUGUAACUUACAUAACCACGAAAGGGAUGGAGAGAAUAAAAGG